AAGUUUUCCUCGCUUGCCUUGGAUACAAUGUACUCAAGAACCAUGUCAUGGACUUGGUAGCUCUUCACCUUGCCGUUGCUGCUGUGCUCCACAGCACGUAUGAUCUUCCUCCUCACGAGAUGAUUGAAAUAUGCCUCUGCAACAUCUUCCGCACUCAGCCCAUCCUUCUCGCAGACAAAUCCCUCUGCCAGCCAACGCCUCGUCAGCCGCUUCCUGCUGACCUUGCUGCCCUUUCGAAAUAUGCAUAGAUACAAGGAGCAAGUCCUGAUCUCACCAGGCAUAUCAUUGUAG
RNAcentral lists this ribosomal RNA (291 nucleotides) under Triticum aestivum (bread wheat). RNAcentral describes it as "partial small subunit ribosomal RNA". The record is from RNAcentral. Lineage: Eukaryota; Viridiplantae; Streptophyta; Magnoliopsida; Poales; Poaceae.